RNAcentral lists this ribosomal RNA (108 nucleotides) under Caerostris darwini. The record is from RNAcentral. Lineage: Eukaryota; Metazoa; Arthropoda; Arachnida; Araneae; Araneidae.
GCCGUACCAUGCUGAAUAUACCGGUUCUCGUUAGAUCACCGAAGUCAAGCAUCAUUGGGCGCGGUCAGUACUUGGGUGGGUGACCACCUGGGAACACCACGUGCCGUU